GAUGAAACGCUGGCGGCAUGGCUUAACACAUGCAAGUUCGAACGAGCAUUCCUUUUAGAUGUGUUAGUGGCGGACGGGUGCGUAACGCGUAAGAACCUUACCUUUUGGGAGGGGGGAUAACAUCGGGAAACUGUUGCUAAUACCCCAUAUCGCUGAGGAGUGAAAGGUGAAAACCGCCAAAAAGGAGGGGCUUGCGUCUGAUUAGCUAGUUGGUGGGUAAAGGCCUACAAGGCCACGAUCAGUAGCUGGUCUGAGAGGAUGAUCAGCCACACUGGGACUGAGACACGGUCCAGACUCCUACGGGAGGCAGCAGGUGGGGAAUAUUGGGCAAUGGACGAAAGUCUGACCCAGCGACGCCGCGUGAGGGAUGAAGGCCUUCGGGUUGUAAACCUCUUUCAGCAGGGAAGAAGCGAAAGUGACGGUACCUGCAGAAGAAGCACCGGCUAACUAUGUG
RNAcentral lists this ribosomal RNA (454 nucleotides) under uncultured bacterium. RNAcentral describes it as "bacterial SSU rRNA". It matches the Rfam family "Bacterial small subunit ribosomal RNA", at positions 32 to 507 of the family's 1533-position model. The record is from RNAcentral.